CGCGGCCGGAAGCGGCGCGCCUGAGGCCCAGUGCGCAGGCGCCUGCGUCGCCUUGGUCUAUAUAAGGAAGGUCCGCCAUCGCCGUCGUUCUUUCGUUCCUGAGACGCCCUGGUGUCCCUUUUGUGUGCGAUGUCUCGUCCACGCGGGAGUUAUUUGCGGAUGGUUGGCUUGAUGAAGCGACACGGAGCAGGGGUUGGAGGGAUAGAAGACGGCACCUUUGCGCCUCCAGGGAGAUGAGAGAAUACAUCUGCGGUCUUCGACCUCCUAAUCUCUUCAAGGUUUGCUGACAGCCAAGACGAGGUUUUGAAUGGAGAAAGAAUCCGGAAGUCAGACAGGAUUGGCCUGAGGGAGCCAUGGAUGCCAGUGUGUGGAUCUGCUCUUGCUUGAUUUCAGUGUCCUGAAACCGGCACUUCUCUGGAGCACAGACCUUGAUCAGCGCCGCUUCCUGCUGGCCCUGUUCCAUGAGGACCAAGGGCUAUGUAUAAUCCAAAAGGAGUUUUCUUUCUAGACUUGGGUAUGGUAUAGUGUGUGCUUUCACUGGAAAUACUAAAUAACAGACACCUUUGGCCUCCUGUCUGUAGAAAUAAAAAUCUGACCAGGUAACUUA
Cricetulus griseus (Chinese hamster) is the source of this 607-nucleotide non-coding RNA. Lineage: Eukaryota; Metazoa; Chordata; Mammalia; Rodentia; Cricetidae. The record is from RefSeq and is a predicted model, not a curated record.